UGUUCCAGCUCUGUUCCUGGGUGCAGGGGUAGGAUCUGGGCUCCUUGUGCUGCUGUUACUGCUGACAGGAGGAGUGCUGAAGUGUCUGCAAUCCAAACGAGACCCUGCUGUCCAGAUUGAACCUAUGUAUGCCACAGUGAAUAUGUCCAAGCAGCCUUCAAAACAACAGGACGACACCCUCACCUACUCAGAAAUAAACACUGCCCGUGUCACCAAGAAGAAACCCAGAUCUGAACCUGAAGACAAUGUAACAUACGCAACAGUUAAAACUGCCACAUACUGAGAACCACUGGAAAAAACUGCUUGAGUGUUUGAAAAAUACCUGAAUAGUCAUUGCAUUAAAAUGGUCUUUCCCUUUUAUCUACAUACUCUCUGCUUUCAUAGGAAUGGGAAAAUAACUGGAAACUGCAAAAUUAAAGUGCAACCAUUAUUAACUUUUUAAAACUGUUGAAAGAAGGUAUGUUGAAUGAUUCCUGGUCUAUCAUUUUAUAUUCGGUGUGUGUCAGGUUAGAACACAUAUGUGAAGUUUAGUGGGCUCAACUUAGCCCCCC
Molecule: long non-coding RNA, 551 nt
Organism: Polyodon spathula (Mississippi paddlefish)
Lineage: Eukaryota; Metazoa; Chordata; Actinopteri; Acipenseriformes; Polyodontidae
Exons: 3
Source: RefSeq, a predicted model, not a curated record